RNAcentral lists this long non-coding RNA (399 nucleotides) under Callithrix jacchus (white-tufted-ear marmoset). RNAcentral describes it as "lncRNA (ENSCJAG00000075921.1)". The record is from RNAcentral. Lineage: Eukaryota; Metazoa; Chordata; Mammalia; Primates; Cebidae.
GUUCUCGAACCUGGGCUCUUAAAGAGGCCGGCGUUUGGGAUUUUUAGGUAGCAGGACGCCUCCAAGCGAACAGUCCUGAGAACCCGGACCGAUACACUCUCCGAGAGACGGUCAAGGAGAUGGACCGCCAGCCAGGACUAGCGGGAACCCUCCGCUGGGCAAACGAUGGUUUUCGAACUUAAGUGAAACAUUGGUAAUGGAGUAUCUACGAGGUGGGAGACAGACUGGCAAGACUUAUUUCCUGGUCCCAAUGAAUGAGAUGAAGAGACCGUUCCAUUCCCAUCCUUAGAGGCAUUCAACCCACAGUCCCUGCUAAGUGAGCAGGAAGCAUGUAAUGCACUUGUCUUCUGGCCAUAGACGAUGGACCAGGAGUAAGUCCUGACCUGAGGCAGAGAAGGA